CCUACGGGGGGCAGCAGUGAGGAAUAUUGGUCAAUGGACGAGAGUCUGAACCAGCCAAGUAGCGUGAAGGAUGACUGCCCUAUGGGUUGUAAACUUCUUUUAUAUGGGAAUAAAAUGUUCCACGUGUGGGAUUUUGUAUGUCCCAUAUGAAUAAGGAUCGGCUAACUCCGUGCCAGCAGCCGCGGUAAUACGGAGGAUCCGAGCGUUAUCCGGAUUUAUUGGGUUUAAAGGGAGCGUAGGUGGAUUGUUAAGUCAGUUGUGAAAGUUUCCGGCUCAACCGUAAAAUUGCAGUUGAAACUGGCAGUCUAGAGUACAGUAGAGGUGGGCGGAAUUCGUGGUGUAGCGGUGAAAUGCUUAGAUAUCACGAAGAACUCCGAUUGCGAAGGCAGCUCACUGGACUGCAACUGACACUGAGGCUCGAAAGUGUGGGUAUCAAACAGGAUUAGAUACCCCAGUAGUC
RNAcentral lists this ribosomal RNA (460 nucleotides) under uncultured bacterium. Its description in RNAcentral is "partial 16S ribosomal RNA". It matches the Rfam family "Bacterial small subunit ribosomal RNA", at positions 338 to 795 of the family's 1533-position model. The record is from RNAcentral.